AAGUCUCCCUGGAAUGGAGCCUUCAUAGAGGGGUGAGAAUCCCCGUCUUUGACACGGACUGCCAGGGCUUUGUGAUGUGCUCUCAAAGAGUCGAGUUGUUUGGGAAUGCAGCUCAAAAUGGGUGGUAAAUUCCAUCUAAAGCUAAAUAUUGGCGAGAGACCGAUAGCGAACAAGUACCGUGAGGGAAAGAUGAAAAGAACUUUGGAAAGAGAGUUAAACAGUACGUGAAAUUGCUGAAAGGGAAACGCUUGAAGUCAGUCGCGUUGGCCGGGGAUCAACCUUGCUUUUGCUUGGUGUACUUUCUGGUUGACGGGUCAGCAUCAAUUUUGAUCGUUGGAUAAAGUCCAGAGGAAUGUGGCAUCUUCGGGUGUGUUAUAGCCUUUGGUCGCAUACAACGGUUGGGAUUGAGGAACUCAGCACGCCGAAAGGCCGGGGAUAUACCCACGUUCGUGCUUAGGAUGCUGGCAUAAUGGCUUUAAUCGACCCGUCUUGAAACACGGACCAAGGAGUCUAACAUGCCUGCGAGUGUUUGGGUGGAAAACCCGAGCGCGUAAUGAAAGUGAAAGUUGAGAUCCCUGUCGUGGGGAGCAUCGACGCCCGGACCAGACCUUUUGUGACGGAUCCGCGGUAGAGCAUGUAUGUUGGGACCCGAAAGAUGGUGAACUAUGCCUGAAUAGGGUGAAGCCAGAGGAAACUCUGGUGGAGGCUCGUAGCGAUUCUGACGUGCAAAUCGAUCGUCAAAUUUGGGUAUAGGG
This 755-nucleotide ribosomal RNA is filed under the name Phaeocollybia sp. RNAcentral describes it as "LSU rRNA". It matches the Rfam family "Eukaryotic large subunit ribosomal RNA", at positions 183 to 922 of the family's 3401-position model. The record is from RNAcentral. Lineage: Eukaryota; Fungi; Basidiomycota; Agaricomycetes; Agaricales; Phaeocollybiaceae.